CGGGGUUAAAACCUCAGCUCCCGUCUUCAGUAACGUCCCGCAACUCAGGACGAAAGGCGGAGCCAGUAAAUAGGGGAGGCGCUGCAAACUACUCUAUAAACCACGCGCGCACACGCAUCACUGCAGAGCCUGCGACUAUCACAGUAGGGGCCGGACCUGUUGAGGUACCUAGCACUGUGUGCUGAAUGCUUUAUAUUCAUGGCUUACUUCACCCAGUGUCCUGAGAGCACUAGAAUAAGUGACUCAGUAAACAUAAGGAUCCAAAGCAAGUAAUCAGAUGGUCUAACUACAUCCCUACCAGAGAAGAAAACAAGAAUACUGAGUAAUGGAGCUGAGACAGUAACCAUGAGCUAAGUUCUUGCUAGUGAAAUGAACACAAGUGAUAUGUGCACUUCAAGGCCAAGACUUCAGAUCUUCACAUGGACACACAUCCUCCUCCCCUCGCACAGGCUGGAGCAUGGGUCCCCAGGUGCAGAAAGUAAGGGUUAAGAAGUCAGCAAGAAGUCAUACUUGGUUUAUCCUGGUGGAACCCAGCAGGGCUGUUGGCUACGUGACAGUACCUUGCUGAGCUUUGGGAUCCGGACAUGGACGCCAGCCCGUAAUCCUGUGCCCAGGUUUGAAGGGCAGGUCAGGAUGUAGCCCAGUCGCUCGUUCCACAUGAACUCCCAGCCUCGCUCUUGGAUUAGGCGUUCUACCUGUAACAGGGAACAAAUGGAGUUCUUGAAUACCUACCUACUCAGGACAUCCCAAACGCCAAGAGGAGACUUGGGUACUGUAUGUUUGCUGUGCGUGAAAUUUAGGUAAAUUUGUAUUACUUCCUUAAUAGAAGAGGAUACUACUGCCAGAAUAUUAAAAUGAUCCAAUCCAAUUAAAUUAGCUGAACCAUGUAAAGUACUGAAUGCAGUACCUAGCGCAUCCUAAAUAUUCAAUAAAUGUCAGUUGCUGUUAUUUUU
Suricata suricatta (meerkat) is the source of this 953-nucleotide long non-coding RNA. RefSeq lists it as uncharacterized. The record is from RefSeq and is a predicted model, not a curated record. The transcript is spliced from 5 exons. NCBI's taxonomy places the organism in Eukaryota, Metazoa, Chordata, Mammalia, Carnivora, Herpestidae.